UGGGGAAUCUUCCGCAAUGGACGAAAGUCUGACGGAGCAACGCCGCGUGAGUGAAGACGGCCUUCGGGUUGUAAAGCUCUGUUAUUCGGGAAGAACGAUUCGUUUGUGAACAAUGAACGGAAGUGACGGUACCGAAAGAGAAAGCCACGGCUAACUACGUGCCAGCAGCCGCGGUAAUACGUAGGUGGCAAGCGUUGUCCGGAAUUAUUGGGCGUAAAGAGCGCGUAGGCGGUAUGGUAAGUCUGUCUUUGAAGUGCGGGGCUUAACCCCGUGAGGGGACAGAGACUGUCAUACUGGAGUCUCGGAGAGGAAAGCGGAAUUCCUAGUGUAGCGGUGAAAUGCGUAGAGAUUAGGAAGAAAACCGGUGGCGAAGGUGGCGUUCUGGACGAGCACUGACGCUGAGGCGCGAAAGCGUGGGGAGCGAACAGG
RNAcentral lists this ribosomal RNA (429 nucleotides) under Fusobacteriota bacterium. RNAcentral's name for it is "Fusobacteria bacterium partial 16S ribosomal RNA". It matches the Rfam family "Bacterial small subunit ribosomal RNA", at positions 355 to 776 of the family's 1533-position model. The record is from RNAcentral. Lineage: Bacteria; Fusobacteriati; Fusobacteriota.